RNAcentral lists this ribosomal RNA (502 nucleotides) under uncultured bacterium. RNAcentral describes it as "partial 16S ribosomal RNA". It matches the Rfam family "Bacterial small subunit ribosomal RNA", at positions 29 to 507 of the family's 1533-position model. The record is from RNAcentral.
ACGCACGCUGGCGGCGUGCUUAACACAUGCCAGUCGAACGGUGAAGCGCUUUCCUUUUUGGUUGGUGUGGAUGAGUGGCGAACGGGUGAGUAACACGUGAGUAACCUGCCCCCUUCUUCUGGAUAACCGCAUGAAAGUGUGGCUAAUACGGGAUAUUCUGCGCCUGCUGCAUGGUGGGUGUGGGAAAGAUUGUGCCUUUAGGUGUUUUCGGUGGGGGAUGGGCUCGCGGCCUAUCAGCUUGUUGGUGGGGUGAUGGCCUACCAAGGCGGUGACGGGUAGCCGGCCGGAGAGGGUGGACGGUCACACUGGGACUGAGACACGGCCCAGACUCCUACGGGAGGCAGCAGUGGGGAAGAUUGCACAAUGGGCGCAAGCCUGAUGCAGCGACGCCGCGUGAGGGAUGGAGGCCUUCGGGGUGUGAACCUCUUUCGCCAGUGAAGCAGGCCUGCUCCUUGUGGGUGGGUUGACGGUAGCUGGAGAAGAAGCGCCGGCUAACUACGUG